ACGGAAGGCAGCAGUGGGGAAUAUUGGGCAAUGGGCGAAAGCCUGACCCAGCGACGCCGCGUGAGGGAAGAAGUCUUCGGAUUGUAAACCUCUUUCAGCAAGGAAGAAGAAAGUGACGGUACUUGCAGAAGAAGCCACGGCUAACUACGUGCCAGCAGCCGCGGUAAUACGUAGGUGGCGAGCGUUAUCCGGAAUUACUGGGUGUAAAGGGUGUGUAGGCGGGGAACCAAGUCAGAUGUGAAAAUUAUGGGCUCAACCCAUAACCUGCGUCUGAAACUGGCUCUCUUGAGAGUGGGAGAGGUAAACGGAAUUCCUGGUGUAGCGGUGAAAUGCGUAGAUAUCAGGAGGAACACCGGUGGCGAAGGCGGUUUACUGGACCACAACUGACGCUGAGACACGGAAGCGUGGGGAGCAAACAGGAUUAGAUACCCUGGUA
RNAcentral lists this ribosomal RNA (436 nucleotides) under uncultured Oscillospiraceae bacterium. RNAcentral describes it as "partial 16S ribosomal RNA". It matches the Rfam family "Bacterial small subunit ribosomal RNA", at positions 341 to 792 of the family's 1533-position model. The record is from RNAcentral. Lineage: Bacteria; Bacillati; Bacillota; Clostridia; Eubacteriales; Oscillospiraceae.